AGACAGUCUAUGCUUCAGUCAUACACUACAGGGCCUGGGUAACAUAUACCAGUGGGGACACAUGAAUUGUCCUGGGAGAGGGCAGAAUCAAAGGGACAGAACAGAAAGUGAGAAAGUUCCAGAUCAUCUUGGGACAGGACGUAUACUUGAACUUGCCUGGAAUAACUGCUGUAAUGGCACAACCUCUCUGACUGCAGCUGUCAAAACUGGUCCAAAGAGGGUGGAAUGAGAUGGACACCAUUACCCUAAGUACAUGUAUGAAGCCUCGAAUGGUGUGAAUAUACUUUGUAUUCAACCAGAGAUAUGAAAAAUUGUGCUGUAUAUGUGUAAUAUGAAGUGUAAUACAUUUUUUCUGUCAUAUGUAACAAAUUAGAAUAAAAAAAAACUGGC
Long non-coding RNA from Marmota monax (woodchuck), 390 nucleotides. RefSeq lists it as uncharacterized. The record is from RefSeq and is a predicted model, not a curated record. NCBI's taxonomy places the organism in Eukaryota, Metazoa, Chordata, Mammalia, Rodentia, Sciuridae. The transcript has 3 exons.